AAUCAACGCUGGCGGCGUGCCUAACACAUGCAAGUCGAACGCGAAAGCCCCCUUCGGGGGUAAGUAGAGUGGCGUCCGGGUGAGUAACACGUGGGUAAUCUACCUUCGGGUGGGGAAGUAACUCAGGGAAACUUGAGCUAAUACCGCAUAAUGCAGCGGCACCUAAUGGUGAUUAGUUGUUAAAGCGGGGGAUCGCAAGACCUCGCGCCUGAAGAGGAGCCUGCGGCAGAUUAG
Molecule: ribosomal RNA, 234 nt
Filed under: uncultured bacterium
Lineage: Bacteria
Description: partial 16S ribosomal RNA
Rfam family: Bacterial small subunit ribosomal RNA
Source: RNAcentral